GACCGCGUAGCUCAGUUGGCAGAGCAUUGGGCUAGUAUUCCAAAGGUCGUAGGUUCGAAUCCCACCGUAGCCA
Molecule: non-coding RNA, 73 nt
Organism: Paramuricea clavata
Lineage: Eukaryota; Metazoa; Cnidaria; Anthozoa; Malacalcyonacea; Plexauridae
Source: the annotation of a GenBank genome assembly